Long non-coding RNA from Dromaius novaehollandiae (emu), 3370 nucleotides. RefSeq lists it as uncharacterized. The record is from RefSeq and is a predicted model, not a curated record. The transcript is spliced from 3 exons. Lineage: Eukaryota; Metazoa; Chordata; Aves; Casuariiformes; Dromaiidae.
CAUUCCCAGUGGCACGAAUGCAUCUUAAAAAUGUAUUUUUGAUGUUCAGAUUUCAAAAUGUCAUUGGGAUGACUUCCACCAGAUACACACAUCUUGGCUAUCUGGCUUAAAGUCAGUGUCUGUUGAACCUUAAUGUGUCUAUGGGCUGGGGUCUGCUGGCAGGAAACUGUUGUUUGGUUCUUUCCCCAUAUUUCAUCAAUUCUUCUGCUGAAGCACAGUGUUUGCAAAGGGGAUAUAAGAUACAACAAAUCAGAUUGUAUUUUAGACUGAAAUUAAUUUAUGAUGUGAAAUGAUCAUGAGCUCAUAUGGACUACAGGAUUUUGGUCAGUUUUAACUGGACAGUAUUUUAUAUUAAAUUAUUUAUAUGUAAUGGAAAACCACAUUCUGUAUUUUCUAGCAUAAUCUAUUUUUCUUUCUCUGCACAGACUGCUCAAUCUAGGCAAGUGGUUUGGGAAAGAAAAUCAGUUUCCCUUUGGGGUGUCUCUGACUGUGCCUUUCAGGUAAGCAGUUUAUAAAUAGUUUAUUUGUAAAGCCAGGAAAAUUUCAAGAAGAUAUGGAAUUUUACUCAUCUAGUUGUUGAAAAGAAGAGCAAUACAGCACCACCCAAGUGAGUUUCUGCUGUUUACCUUGGUAUACAUUCCCCUUCAUCAGCAUAUCGAUAAUAUUCAGUGUUUCAUGGAUGAAUUGACAUUGCCAUAGAAUUUUGAAAAAUUAAAGAGCUUUUUUAAAUAAUAAAUUGAAAUAAAAAGAAUAAUUUUGCCAUGUAUUUGUUCUCACUAAGAAGGUCUGAAGAAACUCUUUCUGACACAUUAGCCCUCAUCCCAAUUGCACCCCUCCUUGAUUCAGCACAGAGCAGAGGGCUGAAUGUUCAAGUUCAAUUCAACCCUUAGGAAAAAUGAUUGCUCAGCUGGGCUGAUGUGUUCAAGAAAUAAAAGUCUCUCCUGCUAAUUCUAGAAGUAAAGCAAAUAUGUGCCUUUAUUGUUUGCACAGUGCAAGCUUCCAUUUAGUUAGGAUCAGAUGGCUGUCAAAAGAAAAAAAAGAAAAAACCCAUCUUCCUAUGGAAAAAAGAAAAUUUAAGUUAAAGGUAAAAUAGUUUGUGCAAUUCAUUUUCCCAGACUUUUUACCCUAAAGUGAAAUUUUAUAGGUUUCAAAACACCAUAAUAUUUUUUAAGCUCCUCUACCUUGGCCAAAACCUUCUGAAGAGCCAUGUUUUCUUUCUGAAGGGGUAUGAAAUGAUAUUCUUACUUUAGAGGUGUCUUUCCUAAAUAAGGAGGAUUUUAAAUGUGAUUCAUUAUCCAAAAUAUUUCUGUGUCAGAAGAAUGGGUAGUAAAGAUAACAGCCAUUGUAAUUUGGAAUUAGGUUACUUGAAACUCGGUUCUUGACCAGAUUACAGUCAAAUAGGAAUUUCCUCUACUUACAGGAAAACUGAGGCUUUGACAUGAUAUAACCAGGCUCAAUUUAUAUGAUUGCUUUUAAUUUUUUGAACAAAUGCAUGAGUGGCAUGAUAAGUGCAAAAAUAACUGUCCAGAAAGCCAAAUAUAAGGGAUGGAGAUUAUGAAUGUUAAAAGAAGAAAAGUGUAAUCAGAAAUGCCAAAACAGGCAGAGGUGGGCAUCAGAUACCCCAGCUACACAGCAGUCGCUGUGCCAGCAGCUCGCAACCCUUCCAGCAGACCAGCGUGCCGGUGCGCCUCCCUCCAGCUGUGCGGCACGACCUUUGCCAUGCCAGAGUUGCCAAGGAGGCUGUGCCUGCUUGUGCCCUUAACGCAGCCGGGAGUAAAAAGAGAGAUGGGUUUGCUGGAAAUCCUCUCCUUCCCUCACAGAUAGGUACUCCCCUGUGCACUGAUCACAUUCUUCUGAAACUGGGAUUCGGAGCAUAAGACUACUUCUGUUUAAAUACCACAGCUGUGAUUUUGGAUGAAGGACCUUAUUACUCUUUCUGUUUAGAAAAUGGAAGGUGGCACCCACCGUUUGUAUGACAUUCUAGAACUAAAAUGUGUUUAAGUUUUGAAAUAAUUUUGAUGUUCCUGUCUGCCCCACGGCUCCUCCUCUGUCAUCUUUCUUCACAGCCCUUUGUGCCUGUGCCCUCCCAGUUCCCCAGAGCUGCUGUGCCAGUCUCAUCAGCUGCUUCCUUAUCCUCUCUCUUUGAAACAACGAUUUCUAUGUUUUUUCUGCCAAGUGUGUUGCAAACUCAAGAGUGAGACCAGGAGAGAGGACCUCCCUCUGGUCAUUCCUUGUGUUCGUUCCCACCAGCAAGAGAACCGUAGCCAGAUAGCCAGAUUGGGCAGAUUUUCUUGGGCAUAUUGUUCCUGCCUGAUGUUAGUGCAGCCUUCCUGCCAAAUUUCAAGCCUUUGAUAUAAAGAUUGGAGGCAAGGUUAGAUCUUUUCAAUGAAGGAGUACAUUUUCAUGGCGUAAUCCAAGUAUAUAUGUAAUUCCUGACACAUCUAUUGUGAGUGACCUCUGAUGUUUUCCAAAUCUUUGUUGUUGGAUUCAAACACCAUUUUUUCAUUCAAGUAUUCUUUUAAUAUUAAAUUGUAUAUGUCUGCAUCUAAAAACAUGUAUUUAUCCCUGUUCCAAUGCUGUUUUUCAGUUCUGAAGGAAACUAAACUUGAUUACAAGAGUUUUAUUCCCUUCCCUGUACAUUUUAAAAGGAAGUACACUUGGUUCUGCACGCAAUGAGGUAACAGACAUAUAUUGUUACAGACAUAAACACUUUUCAAAUGAGUAUAAAGGAAAGCAUCGCCUUCCACUGUCAAUACAGUGUCGAGACUGAUUGUAUUUUAAUUUGAUGUUUGCCACCUGCAUGUCUCAUAGAAAGCACUAAACACUAAACCAGUAGAGUAAGAAAAACAAAUCCCUGACUUUUUGCCUUGCCAUAAUAGAGCUGGAGUUAUUUCAGGAACAAGCUGGAUUGGUUUUCCCUGGGACUCAAAAAUAUAUGAGAGACCAUGGUUUCCAAAAAAGCAUCAAAAGAAAUGAAAAGACAGCACUGGAAGAGAGAGUAAGACCCUUCCCAGAUGCUUGGUUGUUUUGCACUGGGUUAUGCUUGACUGGACCACGGGAACAUGCAGUUCCAUCGACAGCUACAGCUCGUCCCGUGGUUGCUGACAAAUCCACACCUCCCAGUGAGAAAAAAAGCAGCAGAGACUGAUAAAAAUGGAUUCUUGAGAGCAGUAUCUUUGUUAGGGAAACACAAUAUAUUUAAGCAUAGCAUUCCUAUCAUCAGCUAUAGCUACAGUGCUAUAUUAUCUCACCUUUCCCCUGGGAAGGUCUGCUAAGGACACAUCAGCAACACCAAGUCCAGAUGUUCAUCUUUCCCCCUCAUUGAGUAUAAAGGACAAACUCAGGAUGACUACCACCAGCUUCUGGUAUG